This 253-nucleotide ribosomal RNA is filed under the name uncultured bacterium. RNAcentral describes it as "partial 16S ribosomal RNA". It matches the Rfam family "Bacterial small subunit ribosomal RNA", at positions 524 to 776 of the family's 1533-position model. The record is from RNAcentral.
UACGAAGGGGGCGAGCGUUGUUCGGAAUUAUUGGGCGUAAAGGGCGCGUAGGCGGCCUGGCAAGUGGAAGGUGAAAUCCCUCGGCUUAACCGAGGAACUGCCCUCCAAACUGCUUGGCUUGAGUCCGGGAGAGGUGAGUGGAAUUCCCAGUGUAGCGGUGAAAUGCGUAGAUAUUGGGAGGAACACCAGUGGCGAAGGCGGCUCACUGGACCGGUACUGACGCUGAUGCGCGAAAGCGUGGGGAGCAAACGGG